This 235-nucleotide ribosomal RNA is filed under the name uncultured bacterium. Its description in RNAcentral is "partial 16S ribosomal RNA". It matches the Rfam family "Bacterial small subunit ribosomal RNA", at positions 120 to 354 of the family's 1533-position model. The record is from RNAcentral.
AGUAACCUGCCUUGGAGUGGGGAAUAACAGCUGGAAACAGCUGCUAAUACCGCAUGAAAUGUCUGAAUCGCAUGGUUCUGGACAUCAAAGAUUUAUCGCUCUGAGAUGGACUCGCGUCUGAUUAGCUAGUUGGUGGGGUAACGGCCCACCAAGGCGACGAUCAGUAGCCGGACUGAGAGGUUGGCCGGCCACAUUGGGACUGAGACACGGCCCAGACUCCUACGGAAGGCAGCAG